Molecule: transfer RNA, 76 nt
Filed under: Rhodoferax sp.
Lineage: Bacteria; Pseudomonadati; Pseudomonadota; Betaproteobacteria; Burkholderiales; Comamonadaceae
Description: tRNA-Gly
Rfam family: tRNA
About the family: Transfer RNA (tRNA) molecules are approximately 80 nucleotides in length.
Source: RNAcentral
GCGGAUGUAGCUCAGUCGGUAGAGCGCUUGCCUUCCAAGCAAGCUGUCGUGAGUUCGAAUCUCACCAUCCGCUCCA